UACGUAGGUGGCAAGCGUUGUCCGGAAUUAUUGGGCGUAAAGCGCGCGCAGGCGGUCCCUUAAGUCUGAUGUGAAAGCCCACGGCUCAACCGUGGAGGGUCAUUGGAAACUGGGGGACUUGAGUGCAGAAGAGGAAAGUGGAAUUCCAUGUGUAGCGGUGAAAUGCGUAGAGAUGUGGAGGAACACCAGUGGCGAAGGCGAGUUUCUGGUCUGUAACUGACGCUGAGGCGCGAAAGCGUGGGGAGCAAACAGG
This 253-nucleotide ribosomal RNA is filed under the name uncultured bacterium. RNAcentral's name for it is "partial 16S ribosomal RNA". It matches the Rfam family "Bacterial small subunit ribosomal RNA", at positions 524 to 776 of the family's 1533-position model. The record is from RNAcentral.